Molecule: long non-coding RNA, 1126 nt
Organism: Nematostella vectensis (starlet sea anemone)
Lineage: Eukaryota; Metazoa; Cnidaria; Anthozoa; Actiniaria; Edwardsiidae
Exons: 2
Source: RefSeq, a predicted model, not a curated record
AGAUAAAAUUUUGACUUGUAAGGUCAUUUUAAGACACAUUAGUCCAGAUACAGAGGAAAAGAAGAACAGACGUUCUUGAGGAUGGGGAAAGCGGGAGAACUCCUAGGGGCAAAGGCGAACACUAACAAACCUAUUUCAAGUCGUAAGCAAGAAAUGAAACCCCGUGGUAAAAGGCACAGAAACGCUUGCUACGCAGGCUAAUUGGUUCCAAGAAACCACCACCCACCUUGACCAUGGCAGUGAGCGGCGCGUCACAUGCAUUCUCCAGAUCCUGGACCAGCAGCUGGAUACAGUUCGACACAACCCUGCAUGACACAGCAAACGUAGCGGAAAUAACGUAUUGGAAAUGACAUACCAGGAAUGAGGAACCGGAAAUGGUGUCAUUAAACUCACAAGAAAAACGACGGAGCAUUUACCCGUGAAAUACAUCUUGCUCGCCACUCAGAUCAAUCUUCUCGGCCAGCUCUGGGUCUAUUUUCUCUUUUAGUUUAUCUUCAAGCUGGAAUAAUAUUAUUGAGGAAAGUGCUGAUAAGCUGUUGAUAUCAGGCUUCCUGUUGGGCUACCUGUUGUGUAGUGUUGGGCUACCUGUUGUGUAGUGUUGGGCAACCUGUUGUGUGGUGUUGGGCUACCUGUUGUGUAGUGUUGGGCAACCUGAUGUGUAGUGUUGGGCUACCUGUUGUGUAGUGUUGGGCUACCUUUUGUGUAGUAUUGGGCUACCUGUUGUGUAGUUUCCAGGCAGUAGUCCGCUGUACACAGUAUGCAGCAUGUGAGACUUUUCUCUUCGGCAGAGAACUUGACAUCGCUUGCAUCUUUCAGAAUACUCGCUAGCCCGCCUGAUCCCCUGGGAAAUAUAUAGACAGCUCAUUGUUGUUAAUGGGACUUGCAGGUAAUAUUGUUGUGACUGCUGUCGGCUUUGCUUAUACAGUGGAACCUCUAUCAAACGGCCACCCACGGAACCUUGAAAACUGGUAGUAAUAAGAAAUUGAUAUUUUGAGUCCAUCUCUAAAUUGACCGUUUAAAAAUAGGUGUCGACUUAUGGAGGUAACGCUGUACUGUAUUGCUGCUGUUAUUAUCUGCCUUUGUCAAAUGAAUUGUGCUACGGUUACUGUAAAUGUGUGUUAUAUUU